UAUUCUGCCCUACAGGGAAGGAUGAGAAGCUUCGACUAAGGUUCGACUCGAGCGAAGCGAGAGAACGUUGCCGCAGGCAACGGCCCGAAGGGCGAGGC
Molecule: small RNA, 98 nt
Filed under: Klebsiella pneumoniae
Lineage: Bacteria; Pseudomonadati; Pseudomonadota; Gammaproteobacteria; Enterobacterales; Enterobacteriaceae
Description: partial RtT sRNA
Rfam family: RtT RNA
About the family: This family represents a bacterial cis-regulatory element known as RtT RNA. The exact function of RtT is unknown although it is thought that it may be involved in changing the cellular response in relation to amino acid starvation.
Source: RNAcentral